This 433-nucleotide ribosomal RNA is filed under the name uncultured bacterium. RNAcentral's name for it is "partial 16S ribosomal RNA". It matches the Rfam family "Bacterial small subunit ribosomal RNA", at positions 29 to 507 of the family's 1533-position model. The record is from RNAcentral.
AACGAACGCUGGCGGCAUGCCUAACACAUGCAAGUCGAACGAGACCUUCGGGUCUAGUGGCGCACGGGGGCGUAACGCGGGGGAACCUGCCCUUAGGGUCGGAAUAACUCCCCGAAAGGGGUGCUAAUACCGGAUAAUGUCGUCGGACCAAAGAUUUAUCGCCUUUGGAUGGGCCCGCGUUGGAUUAGCUAGUUGGUAGGGUAAAAGCCUACCAAGGCGACGAGCCAUAGCUGGUCUGAGAGGAUGAUCAGCCACACUGGGACUGAGACACGGCCCAGACUCCUACGGGAGGCAGCAGUGGGGAAUAUUGGACAAUGGGCGAAAGCCUGAUCCAGCAAUGCCGCGUGAGUGAUGAAGGCCUUAGGGUUGUAAAGCUCUUUUACCCGGGAUGAUAAUGACAGUACCGGGAGAAUAAGCUCCGGCUAACUCCGUG